GAAACGUUCACUGUUUGAGAGUGCGUUUACUAAGAAUGGCCUGUUUCUUUUUUUCUUUUCUUUCUGAGACCUACAGGAUUGUAAAGGCCGUAAGCAAUAUAUUGGGAUUAUUAUGAUCUACAGUGCAUGCAAGUUCAUGAUUUUACAUGCUUUUUUUUCUUAUUGCUACUGUAUGUGUGUUUACAGCUUUGCUGUUGCUGGCAUGUCUGAUCUCAUGUAAGAGAGAAAAAGUCUUCAUCUCAACAGAUGACGGCCCUGGAUGGCAUCUACUGCCCUCAAAUAUUGAGACACCUGGAACUGAUUGCAACGUUCCCUUUCCAGGGGGAAAGGUUGACGUGAUCCAAAAAGCUGUAGAUGUCAUAGAUGUCAAAACUAUGAAUACCGCGAACCCUGCCGUCGAAAAGCAAGAAUUUACGGAAAGGAGUAAUGGCCAGUUGUCUCAGUUUGGGUGUGCAGAAUUCGGUUUCAAUCAGUUUGAAAUGGAAAGGACUAGUUCAAUGAGGAAGUCAUGGCAAGAGUUUGGAUUUGCACAGGUAUGCUUACAAAUAAUGAAUGAGACAUCUGCUCUGUUGUUUUUGUAUAUGUUUGAAUAUGUGUGUGUUGUUAAAUCUAUGCUUUACUACAUUUGAAAAUGUAUCUGCUACUAAUUUCAUAAAGAGAUCCACGAGGAGCAGAAAAUACACCUAUACAGAUGCUUCCUUCC
Molecule: long non-coding RNA, 703 nt
Organism: Clupea harengus (Atlantic herring)
Lineage: Eukaryota; Metazoa; Chordata; Actinopteri; Clupeiformes; Clupeidae
Source: Ensembl